This 253-nucleotide ribosomal RNA is filed under the name uncultured bacterium. RNAcentral's name for it is "partial 16S ribosomal RNA". It matches the Rfam family "Bacterial small subunit ribosomal RNA", at positions 524 to 776 of the family's 1533-position model. The record is from RNAcentral.
UACAGAGGGUGCAAGCGUUGUCCGGAUUUAUUGGGCGUAAAGCGUCUGUAGGCGGUUUACCAAGUCCGAAGUGAAAGAAUGGGGCUUAACUCCAUCCACGCUUUGGAAACUGGUAGACUAGAGACUGUUAGAGGUAAGUGGAAUUUCCAGUGUAGCGGUGAAAUGCGUAGAUAUUGGAAGGAACACCAGAGGCGAAGGCGGCUUACUGGGAUAGUUCUGACGCUGAGAGACGAAAGCUAGGGGAGCGAAAGGG